This 692-nucleotide ribosomal RNA is filed under the name Streptococcus sp. RNAcentral's name for it is "bacterial SSU rRNA". It matches the Rfam family "Bacterial small subunit ribosomal RNA", at positions 83 to 763 of the family's 1533-position model. The record is from RNAcentral. Lineage: Bacteria; Bacillati; Bacillota; Bacilli; Lactobacillales; Streptococcaceae.
UUCUCUGGAUGAGUUGCGAACGGGUGAGUAACGCGUAGGUAACCUGCCUGGUAGCGGGGGAUAACUAUUGGAAACGAUAGCUAAUACCGCAUAAUAUUGACUAUUGCAUGAUAGUUGAUUAAAAGGUGCAAUUGCACCACUACCAGAUGGACCUGCGUUGUAUUAGCUAGUUGGUGAGGUAACGGCUCACCAAGGCGACGAUACAUAGCCGACCUGAGAGGGUGAUCGGCCACACUGGGACUGAGACACGGCCCAGACUCCUACGGGAGGCAGCAGUAGGGAAUCUUCGGCAAUGGACGGAAGUCUGACCGAGCAACGCCGCGUGAGUGAAGAAGGUUUUCGGAUCGUAAAGCUCUGUUGUAAGAGAAGAACGAGUGUGAGAGUGGAAAGUUCACACUGUGACGGUAUCUUACCAGAAAGGGACGGCUAACUACGUGCCAGCAGCCGCGGUAAUACGUAGGUCCCGAGCGUUGUCCGGAUUUAUUGGGCGUAAAGCGAGCGCAGGCGGUUAGAUAAGUCUGAAGUUAAAGGCUGUGGCUUAACCAUAGUACGCUUUGGAAACUGUUUAACUUGAGUGCAAGAGGGGAGAGUGGAAUUCCAUGUGUAGCGGUGAAAUGCGUAGAUAUAUGGAGGAACACCGGUGGCGAAAGCGGCUCUCUGGCUUGUAACUGACGCUGAGGCUCGAAAGCGUG